RNAcentral lists this unclassified non-coding RNA (205 nucleotides) under Hevea brasiliensis (rubber tree). The record is from RNAcentral. Lineage: Eukaryota; Viridiplantae; Streptophyta; Magnoliopsida; Malpighiales; Euphorbiaceae.
UAAAAGAAGUGUUGAGGUUACACCCUCCGCUUCCAUUGUUGCUUCCGCAUGAGUCGAUGCAGGACUCGGUCGUACAAGGAUACCGAGUUCCAAGCAAAACUAGGGUUCUCAUAAACACAUGGGCGAUAGGCCGGGACCCAAAACUCUGGGAAGAGCCGGAGGAGUUCCGACCUGAGAGGUUCCUUGAUAGUACGGUCGAUUUCAG